Long non-coding RNA from Ornithorhynchus anatinus (platypus), 319 nucleotides. RefSeq lists it as uncharacterized. The record is from RefSeq and is a predicted model, not a curated record. The transcript is spliced from 3 exons. Lineage: Eukaryota; Metazoa; Chordata; Mammalia; Monotremata; Ornithorhynchidae.
GGAGUUGUGAUUAGAACCCAUGACCUCUGACUCCCAAGCCUGUGCUUUUUCCACUGAGCCACGAACCAGCAAUAGCAAAAGAAGGUGUCCCUCAUGCUGCUGUUUUGAGAUUCGGCAAUCACACAAAAAUCCUGUGAUCAUCAGUCCACGGUCUUCAUGGUUUUAUAAAGGUCUAGUAUAUGCUUCCUGAAAUGUGGGGAUGAGAACUGCUCUUGGAAUCCCAGAUAUGGAUAUAUAUAACCUAGUGUUGUGGCCUUGAGCAAGUCACUUCACUUCUCUGUGCCUCAGUUCUCAUCUGUAAAAUGGGAAUUGAAAAACU